This 253-nucleotide ribosomal RNA is filed under the name uncultured bacterium. RNAcentral's name for it is "partial 16S ribosomal RNA". It matches the Rfam family "Bacterial small subunit ribosomal RNA", at positions 524 to 776 of the family's 1533-position model. The record is from RNAcentral.
UACAGAGGUCCCGAGCGUUGUUCGGAUUCAUUGGGCGUAAAGGGUGCGUAGGCGGUCUGCUAAGUUUGAUGUGAAAUCCCGGGGCUCAACCCUGGAAUGGCAUUGAAUACUGGUGGACUAGAGUACUGGAGAGGAAACUGGAAUUUACGGUGUAGCAGUGAAAUGCGUAGAGAUCGGGAGGAACACCAGUGGCGAAGGCGGCUACCUGGACCAGCACUGACACUGAGGCACGAAAGCGUGGGGAGCAAACAGG